RNAcentral lists this ribosomal RNA (1980 nucleotides) under Triticum aestivum (bread wheat). RNAcentral describes it as "partial small subunit ribosomal RNA". Lineage: Eukaryota; Viridiplantae; Streptophyta; Magnoliopsida; Poales; Poaceae. The record is from RNAcentral.
AUGGCGCGAGUCGAGCACGAAGAGACUACACUUGCCGGGGUGGACCGGGAAGAAGGGGGAGGUGGGGGACAAGGGAGAAAACCAGCACAGUACCGUCUCGUCGUUCUCGAAGAACCCCAGCAAGGGAGGCGCCCCGUGGAACUCGCGGUAGAGGCGGGUGAAGGCGGGGCCGGCGAGGCGGCUGCGCCAGGGUUUGCAGACGAGGGAGGCCCGGAAGAGGCACCCGGGGUCGUCCGGCGGGAGGCGGAGGAGGAUCUCCUCGAGGAGCUCGUCCGGCAGCGUCGCCGGCGGCGGCGGCAUGGCGGGUGGAGGCGUGGGUUGUGGCCGGAAUGGAAGGAGCAACUGCUGGGUCUGCGUUCGUGGGUCAUUUCACAGGCUCACAGGGUUGGGCUCAAGUCUCAACCAGCUCCGCGUGUGUGGGGGGAUUUCUGCCAAAGUGGAACCGGGGAGGCAGCGAGACUGGGACUGGUGCGUAGUGGAGGAGCUGAUUUCUCCAAGCGGGCAGUGGCAAUGGCGUGCUACGCCGCUCUCCUGCACCAGCCGCCCGCCUCGCCGUCCCCGUGCACCUCAGGCCGCGCCGGCUCCUGCCGUGUCCGUCCGCCCCCACUCCUCCAGCGCCGAGCCCUUCCCCUGUCUGUGCGCGCUCGGAUCUCCCCCCGCUGCUCCUACGCCGCAGCCGGAGAAAGCGCCGGAGCGGGCGCCGGGGAACAGCCCGCGGCGGCGCUCCGGAGAGUGCUGGGGACGCCGGGCGCCCACCAGGCGCCCGCUUGCUACGACGCGCUCAGCGCCCGCCUCGUCGAGCGCGCGGGGUUCAGGGCCUGCUUCACGAGCGGCUUCUCAAUAUCUGCUGCAAGGCUUGGAUUGCCAGAUGUUGGUCUCAUCUCCUAUGGUGAAAUGAUAGAUCAAGGGCGUUUAAUCACUGAAGCAGUAUCGAUACCUGUCAUUGGUGAUGCUGAUAAUGGUUAUGGAAACUGUAUGAAUGUCAAGAGGACAGUGAAAGGAUUUAUUAAUGCUGGUUUUGCUGGAAUUAUUCUUGAAGAUCAGGUGUCACCAAAAGCAUGUGGACAUACACAAGGAAGGAAAGUUGUCUCAAGAGAGGAAGCGAUUAUGCACAUAAAAGCCGCUGUAGAUGCCAGGAAGGAGAGUGGCUCUGACAUUGUUAUUGUGGCAAGGACAGAUUCUCGUCAAGCUUUGUCUCUUGAUGAAGCGUUAUGGAGAGCACGAGCUUUUGCUGAUGCUGGAGCAGAUGUUCUAUUUAUUGAUGCCCUUGCCUCAAGGGAAGAGAUGAUGGCGUUUUGUGCAGUUUCACCUGGAGUUCCAAAAAUGGCCAACAUGUUAGAAGGUGGUGGUAAAACUCCUAUAUUGAGCCCUCUUGAACUUGAAGAAAUUGGUUACAAAAUCAUAGCCUACCCAUUAUCUCUAAUUGGGGUAUCAAUGCGUGCAAUGGAGGAUGCUCUUGUUGCUAUAAAAGGUGGCCGCAUACCUCCUCCAAGUAGCUUGCCAUCAUUUGAGGAGAUCAAGGAUACGCUAGGGUUUAACCGUUAUUAUGAAGAGGAAAAGCGAUACGUUGCAUCACCAGCUCAAUCAUCCUUUUGGAGUGGUAAUUAUGAUUAUACAAGUGAAGCUAGCAGUUCAGGAGACACCAAGUCCAGGACUGAGAAAUCACAAGAACCUAUUAUUGACAUACUGCCACAGCUCUAUGAUCCUGGUUCCGCUGGAGGCAGAGGUCCUUCAGGUGGGAUGUGGUCCCGCACACUUCGAUUGAAGAUUACAGGAAGAGAUGGGGUCCAGAAAAUUGAUGCCAGGAUACCUGCUGGAUUCUUAGAAGGGAUGACAAAAGUUAUUCCAGGCCUGGCUGGAACUAAUAUCAUGGAAAGGCUUCGGAACGCGCCUAUGGAUUCGGACAACCCCCAGAACGGGCAGAUACUGCUUGAUUUUGAGGACGGCAGGGGAGAUAGGAUCCAGGUUUUCAUCGCGUGA